GAGAUUGUGCAGGAUUUGCUUCUUUCUUCAUCAAGCUUUGCUCUUGUUUAGCAUACGAAAAAGAUGGGAAACAAGCCUCCUUAGAUUUUGUUCUCAUCAAGGACGAAGCAAAUUGUCUAGGAAAAAAAAUAUCAUCAUUAGAAGGGAUUUCAGUGUCUUCACUGUUUAAUGUACACUCCAUCUCUCCAUCACAGUUCUCUGCAGAC
This 206-nucleotide unclassified non-coding RNA is filed under the name Hevea brasiliensis (rubber tree). The record is from RNAcentral. Lineage: Eukaryota; Viridiplantae; Streptophyta; Magnoliopsida; Malpighiales; Euphorbiaceae.